CUUACUACUGAGGGAGAGCCUUCCUGAGUACUCUACCUAGUGCCUUGUGAAUUAUGGAUUUUUCCAGUCUGUGUUGUGGGAGCAGUGGCAGCUUCAGCCACCCGGCAGCACCAGGCACUGUUUCCUCUAUUCUCUUUGGAUGGUUCUUUCCCUGGCCUUGUGUAGUUUCCUCACACACAUGCGACGAUCAGUCCUCUGCCUAAUGCUCCAGGGUGGCCCGCUGCACAUCUCUGGAGUUCUCUGCGAAGCGCUCUUCUUUCUGGUACUCUGUCCUGUGAGUUCUAGCCACUUUAGCCUCCUCAGACUCUCAGCUGUGUCUCAACUCGGUGUCUGCUCACUCCGCUUUAUUUCUCCCGUUUCUGCCAUGGCCCAGAAGAGCUCAAGGUAGUAAGCUGGGCUACUCAUAGUGUUCACCGUUGUUUGUCUCCGACUCUCAGGGAUCACUAUCCUUUGUUGUCUGAUAUCCAGUGUCUUGAAAACCAUCCUUUCAUGUAGUUUGCUUAUGGGUUUUUUUGUUUUGUUUUUGUUUUCUUGGUAUUUUCAGGUUGGAGGGUAUAUCUGGUCCCUAUUUAUUCAUCUUGGUCAUAGACUUAUUUUUUACAUGGUAGGCACUAAUUUUAAAGAAUUAUGGGUAUUGGUUAAGUUGAUUGAUCUAGUGACUAAAGGCGUUUUGUUUCACUGACCUUUGCCUUUCAGCCAUCUCCCCCCACCUGGGAAAGCCACAGUGGAAUGUAGUUGGACAGUGGCUUUGUGCACAUUCAUACUCCAAUAAUCACAUCCAAUGACUGUGAGGGGGCUGGAGAACUUUUUCGAGUUGAAGGGCACUGAGGAGAGAACUGACCUGAGAAGCUGGUGUGCUCCCCCCGAUAUUGGGUUUUUGCUGCCUCCACUUGAAGCGAGGAUCUUGUGAAUUAACAUAAUGGUAAAAAAAAAUUCCCUCAGAUUGUGACCUGAUGCAGCCUGCUGCUGCUUCCUAUUCAGAAGACUGAGCUGUUUCUUCCAACCUGUGAUAUCCGCUGAGUGGAGUACAUUCUUAAAAU
This 1040-nucleotide long non-coding RNA is filed under the name Equus caballus (horse). RNAcentral's name for it is "lncRNA (ENSECAG00000056485.1)". Lineage: Eukaryota; Metazoa; Chordata; Mammalia; Perissodactyla; Equidae. The record is from RNAcentral.